This 437-nucleotide long non-coding RNA is filed under the name Mus caroli (Ryukyu mouse). RNAcentral's name for it is "lncRNA (MGP_CAROLIEiJ_G0003097.1)". The record is from RNAcentral. Lineage: Eukaryota; Metazoa; Chordata; Mammalia; Rodentia; Muridae.
GAAUGGUCUGCUUGGAACCUGAGCAGCACUGACUUCUGCAGAAGACUGAGAUGGAGACGCCCCCCAGUGUCCUGUUGCUCCUGCAGUCUGAACUUCCCAACAGCCCAUCUUUGGUUUAAAAAGUCUUUGUAAAGUUAACAUCCUUCCUACCGGAAUGUCCUGCACCUCCCUGUCUUUGGGACUCGGGUUUACUUGCAGAGAUCUUCUGCGGAAGACAACCUUCUUUUUGAUCUUUAGGCACAAAGGCAGGAGGCCCAUGGCCUUCCUCCUGCUCACUUGACUUGAGGAGAGCUGUCCCCCUUCGAGCUUUAGGCACAUAAAGUGCCAUGUCAGGCCUUUUGGUUCGAACUCUACAUCUCUCUGCUUCUUGCUGCAUGGCACCACUUCAAUCUGAAAGAAAAUGAAAGAGUUAAUAAUAAAAGACAAAAAAAAAUUCA